AAUAGGCUUAUGAGAGUAAAGUCUACUAGAUACUCUUGAGCGCAAGUUCAUUUAGAUAGACCAAUGAUGGUAAGUUCUAUGAGAUUUAUCUGUUAAGCUAAUAAGGAUAGGUUCUGUAAGAUAUGCUAAUAAGGGUUGGUUCUAUUAGAUAGGCUUAUCAGGGUAGGUUCUAUUAGAUUGGCUAAUGAGGAUUAGUUUUAUUCUAUAGGCUUAUAAGAGUAGGUUCUGUUAGAGAGGCUUAUGAGGGUAGGUUCUAUUAGAGAGGCUUAUGAGGGUAGGUUCUAUUAGAGAGGCUUAUGAGGGUAGGUUCUAUUAGGUUGGCUUAUGAGGGUAGGUUCUAUUAGGUAGGCUUAUAAGAGUAGGUUCUAUUAGAGAGGCUGAUGAGGGUAGGUUCUGUUAGAGAGGCUUAUGAGGGUAGGUUCUGUUAGAGAGGCUUAUAAGAGUAGGUUCUAUUAGAGAGGCUGAUGAGGGUAGGUUCUAUUAGGUAGGCUUAUGAGGGUAGGUUCUGUUAGAGAGGCUUAUGAGGGUAGGUUCUAUUAGGUAGGCUUAUGAGGGUAGGUUCUAUUAGGUAGGCUUAUGAGGGUAGGUUCUAUUAGGUAGGCUUAUGAGAGUAGGUUCUAUUAGAGAGGCUUAUGAGGGUAGGUUCUAUUAGGUAGGCUUAUAAGAGUAGGUUCUAUUAGAGAGGCUGAUUAGGGUAGGUUCUAUUAGGUAGGCUUAUGAGAGUAGGUUCUAUUAGAGAGGCUUAUGAGGGUAGGUUCUAUUAGGUAGGAUUAUGAGAGUAGGUUCUAUUAGAGAGGCUUAUAAGAGUAGGUUAUAUUAGAGAGGCUUAUGAGGGUAGGUUCUAUUAGAGAGGCUUAUGAGGGUAGGUUCUAUUAGAGAGGCUUAUGAGGGUAGGUUCUAUUAGAGAGGCUGAUGAGGGUAGGUUCUAUUAGGUAGGCUUAUAAGAGUAGGUUCUAUUAGAGAGGCUGAUGAGGGUAGGUUCUAUUAGGUAGGCUUAUAAGAGUAGGUUCUAUUAGAGAGGCUGAUGAGGGUAGGUUCUAUUAGGUAGGCUUAUAAGAGUAGGUUCUAUUAGAGAGGCUGAUGAGGGUAGGUUCUAUUAGGUAGGCUUAUAAGAGUAGGUUCUAUUAGAGAGGCUGAUAAGGGUAGGUUCUAUUAGGUAGGCUUAUAAGAGUAGGUUCUAUUAGAGAGGCUGAUGAGGGUAGGUUCUGUUAGAGAGGCUUAUGAGGGUAGGUUCUGUUAGAGAGGCUUAUAAGAGUAGGUUCUAUUAGAGAGGCUGAUUAGGGUAGGUUCUAUUAGGUAGGCUUAUAAGAGUAGGUUCUCUUAGAGAGGCUGAUGAGGGUAGGUUCUAUUAGGUAGGCUUAUAAGAGUAGGUUCUAUUAGAGAGGCUGAUGAGGGUAGGUUCUAUUAGGUAGGCUUAUAAGAGUAGGUUCUAUUAGAGAGGCUGAUGAGGGUAGGUUCUAUUAGGUAGGCUUAUAAGAGUAGGUUCUAUUAGGUAGGCUUAUGAGGGUAGGUUAUAUAAGGUAGGCUUAUGAGAGUAGGUUCUAUUAGGUAGGCUUAUGAGGGUAGGUUAUAUUAGGUAGGCUUAUGAGGGUCGGUUAUAUUAGGUAGGCUUAUGAGAGAAGGUUAUAUUAGGUAGGCUUAUGAGGAUUACUUGUAUUAGAUAGACUCAUGAGGGUAGGUUCUAUUAUGUAGGCUCAUGUGGGAAAGUUCUAUUAGAUAGACUUAUGAGGAAAAGUUCUAUUAGAUAGGUUUAUGAUGUAAAGAUCUAUUAUAUAGCAUUAUAAGAGAAAUUUCUUUUAGAUAGGCUUAUGAGGGAAAGUUUAAUUAUGCCCCCCUUCGAAGAAGAGGGGGUAUAUUGCUUUGCUCAUGUUGGUCAGUCGGUCGGUCGGUCCGUCCGUCCACCAGGUGGUUGUCAUACGAUAACUCAAGAACGCUUGGGCCUAGUAUCAUGAAACUUCAUAGGUACAUUGAUCAUGACUCGCAGAUGACCCCUAUUGAUUUUGAGGUCACUAGGUCAAAGGUCAAGGUCACGGUGACUCGAAAUAGUAAAAUGGUUUUUUGAAUGAUAACUCAAGAAUGCAUACGGAGCCAACAGGGAACACUCGGAACAAUAUUACUGAAGCAACUGGUCUGUAAUCCUAAAUCUAUAAUUAUCAGUCCAAUGAAACAUCAUCCUUUUAGUAAAAUACAGUGAAUCAGUAAAAAUAUUAUCAGAAUAUGAGAUUUUUUGUAUAUUUUGUAUAUUAAAUAUUGUGUUAAUGUUUAAUUUUGUUGAUUUAUAUAAAUAUAAGCAGGACAGGGGAGGUAAUACACUAUUAUAUCUACCUAUAUACAGGGGAAACAAAUGCAAUAAGUUUAAAUUUAUUGUUACAGCAUUUGCUUCCCUUGUAAUAUAUUUAAAUUUUACCAAAUGUAAGGCUAACUGCAUUUUUGUAAUGCAUACUACUACUACUACUACUACUGCUGCUGCU
Long non-coding RNA from Dreissena polymorpha, 2471 nucleotides. RefSeq lists it as uncharacterized. The record is from RefSeq and is a predicted model, not a curated record. The transcript has 3 exons. NCBI's taxonomy places the organism in Eukaryota, Metazoa, Mollusca, Bivalvia, Myida, Dreissenidae.